GAAGGAUCUUCUUGUCCUUUACCGCACAAAUGGAUAAUCUGAUAUUUUUUAAGCAACGUUGGAAUAUGCCUGCGAACAACAUGAUUUAAGCUUUUAGCACCCAGACUUCCACCCAUAAACAACAAAACAGGCUUUUCCUCUGUAAA
RNAcentral lists this non-coding RNA (146 nucleotides) under bovine gut metagenome. The record is from RNAcentral.